GCAAGAGAAGAGUAGAACUACUCAAGAGCAAGAGAACUCAAAAUUGGACUUUGAAAACUGCAUUGCAGUUUUCAUUUAAUUACAAUUGGAUUUUUGCUCUUUCCUUGGUCUUCAACCUCACCAAUUUAAAGAGUAGAAGCUACCUAGAUGAGGAAUUAGGUGGGCAAGAGAAGAGUAGAACUACCUAAGAGCAAGAGAACUCAAAAUUGGACUUUUGGAAACCGGAAACUGCAUUGCAGUUUUCAUUUAAUUACAAUUGUUUUUGUAGCUGUUUUCGUUUUUGUUUUUGUUUUUUUAACAUAAUUGAUAUCUACAUUAUAUUUUUGUUGCAGUUUCUGUUUUUAUUUGCAGUUUUUGUGUGAAUAAGUGUUGAAAUGCUUUUUAUUUUUAUUUAUUUUUAAUAAACCAUUGAUUGUUCAUAUAAAUAUUGUAUAAUUGAAUAAAUAUUACAAAAUCAAGUUUGGUGUAGUGGUUUGUGAGUGAGCCUUCCUCCUUUGAGGGUCAAGGUUCGAGUCCAUUCAAUGACACAAUCUUUUUUUUAAAGGUGAAUAAAGGGCAACGGAGUUGGUCAUCUACAGACGGUGGCAGGUAAUGGCGGCCAACGGUGGUGGUGGCAGGUGGCCAGCAGCGGGAGUCCGGUGGUGGUGGCAGGUGGCCGGCGGCGGAAGUCCGGCGGUGGUGGCCGGCGGCGAGAUAUGAUUGGCUAGAUAUGGACAUGUGGCAUAGUAUGCUUGCCUUAGAAGGAGUGGCAUUGUGUGUAAUUUUGAUAUGUUUUAAUGAUAUUUUUGUAAAAUUAGGUACCACAAUUUGGUCUUUUGCCUUAUGCUAAUUAGAUGAAAUUGUAUUACUAUCUUCUAAAUUAGUAAACUAUAUUGUGUUUUAAAACUAAAGCUCCCUUAAAACAAUUCAUAUGCCAAGCAUGCGAGACUAUUUAAGGAGAAAUUGGUCAUUUGCACUUUAAAAUAAUUAAAACUAAAAAAAAUUAAAGCAAAU
This 993-nucleotide long non-coding RNA is filed under the name Prunus persica (peach). Its description in RNAcentral is "long non-coding RNA (PPER_LNC003833)". Lineage: Eukaryota; Viridiplantae; Streptophyta; Magnoliopsida; Rosales; Rosaceae. The record is from RNAcentral.